RNAcentral lists this unclassified non-coding RNA (152 nucleotides) under uncultured Ascomycota. RNAcentral's name for it is "partial internal transcribed spacer 2". Lineage: Eukaryota; Fungi; Ascomycota. The record is from RNAcentral.
AACCUCCUCAAGCUCUGCUUGGUGUUGGGCGUUUGUCCCGCCUUUGGGCAUGGACUCGCCUCAAAAAUAUUGGCAGCCACCUCCCUGGCUUCGAGCGCAGCACAUUUGCGCCCGGUUCUUAGGGUAGUGAUUUUCCAGAAGCCCUUUUUUUC